Molecule: transfer RNA, 54 nt
Filed under: Ovis aries (sheep)
Lineage: Eukaryota; Metazoa; Chordata; Mammalia; Artiodactyla; Bovidae
Rfam family: tRNA
About the family: Transfer RNA (tRNA) molecules are approximately 80 nucleotides in length. Their secondary structure includes four short double-helical elements and three loops (D, anti-codon, and T loops).
Source: Rfam by way of RNAcentral
UCCCUGGUGGCUUAGAGGGUAAAGCAUCUGCUUGCAAUGCAGAAGACCUGGGUU